Molecule: ribosomal RNA, 275 nt
Filed under: uncultured bacterium
Lineage: Bacteria
Description: partial 16S ribosomal RNA
Rfam family: Bacterial small subunit ribosomal RNA
Source: RNAcentral
GCGUGAGUGAAGAAGGUCUUCGGAUUGUAAAGCUCUUUUGCCAGGGACGAUAAUGACGGUACCUGGAGAAUAAGCCCCGGCAAACUUCGUGCCAGCAGCCGCGGUAAUACGAAGGGGGCUAGCGUUGUUCGGAAUUACUGGGCGUAAAGCGCACGUAGGCGGGUGGUUAAGUCAGGGGUGAAAUCCCGGAGCUCAACUCCGGAACUGCCUUUGAUACUGGCCAUCUAGAGAUCGGAAGAGGUGAGUGGAAUUCCCAGUGUAGAGGUGAAAUUCGU